GCGGAUAUGUUGAAAUUGGUAGACAAGCCAGACUUAGGAUCUGGUGCCGUGAGGCGUGUGGGUUCGAGUCCCACUAUCCGUACCG
This 85-nucleotide transfer RNA is filed under the name Bacteroidales bacterium. RNAcentral's name for it is "tRNA-Leu". It matches the Rfam family "tRNA". From Rfam's summary of the family: Transfer RNA (tRNA) molecules are approximately 80 nucleotides in length. Their secondary structure includes four short double-helical elements and three loops (D, anti-codon, and T loops). Further hydrogen bonds mediate the characteristic L-shaped molecular structure. tRNAs have two regions of fundamental functional importance: the anti-codon, which is responsible for specific mRNA codon recognition, and the 3' end, to which the tRNAs corresponding amino acid is attached (by aminoacyl-tRNA synthetases). tRNAs cope with the degeneracy of the genetic code in two manners: having more than one tRNA (with a specific anti-codon) for a particular amino acid; and 'wobble' base-pairing, i.e. permitting non-standard base-pairing at the 3rd anti-codon position. Lineage: Bacteria; Pseudomonadati; Bacteroidota; Bacteroidia; Bacteroidales. The record is from RNAcentral.